CCUACGGGAGGCAGCAGUGAGGAAUAUUGGUCAAUGGACGAGAGUCUGAACCAGCCAAGUAGCGUGAAGGAUGACUGCCCUAUGGGUUGUAAACUUCUUUUAUAAAGGAAUAAAACGAGGCACGUGUGCCUCUUUGCAUGUACUUUAUGAAUAAGGAUCGGCUAACUCCGUGCUAGCAGCCGCGGUAAUACGGAGGAUCCGAGCGUUAUCCGGAUUUAUUGGGUUUAAGGGGAGCGUAGAUGGGUUGUUAAGUCAGUUGUGAAAGUUUGCGGCUCAACCGUAAAAUUGCAAUUGAUACUGGCAGUCUUGAGUACAGUUGGGGUAGGCGGAAUUCGUGGUGUAGCGGUGGAAUGCUUAGAUAUCACGAAGAACCCCGAUUGCGAAGGCAGCUUACUAAGCUGUGACUGACAUUGAUGCUCGAAAGUGUGGGUAUCAAACAGGAUUAGAUACCCGAGUAGUC
This 460-nucleotide ribosomal RNA is filed under the name uncultured bacterium. RNAcentral's name for it is "partial 16S ribosomal RNA". It matches the Rfam family "Bacterial small subunit ribosomal RNA", at positions 338 to 795 of the family's 1533-position model. The record is from RNAcentral.